This 253-nucleotide ribosomal RNA is filed under the name uncultured bacterium. Its description in RNAcentral is "partial 16S ribosomal RNA". It matches the Rfam family "Bacterial small subunit ribosomal RNA", at positions 524 to 776 of the family's 1533-position model. The record is from RNAcentral.
UACGUAGGGUGCAAGCGUUAAUCGGAAUUACUGGGCGUAAAGCGUGCGCAGGCGGUUUUGUAAGUCUGACGUGAAAUCCCCGGGCUCAACCUGGGAAUUGCAUUGGAGACUGCAAGGCUAGAAUCUGGCAGAGGGGGGUAGAAUUCCACGUGUAGCAGUGAAAUGCGUAGAGAUGUGGAGGAACACCGAUGGCGAAGGCAGCCCCCUGGGUCAAGAUUGACGCCCAUGCACGAAAGCGUGGGGAGCAAACAGG